GACGAACGCUGGCGGCGUGCUUAACACAUGCCAGUCGAACGGAAAGGCCCUGCUUGCAGGGUACUCGAGUGGCGAACGGGUGAGUAACACGUGGGUGAUCUGCCCUGCACUUCGGGAUAAGCCUGGGAAACUGGGUCUAAUACCGGAUAGGAGCCAUUUUUAGUGUGAUGGUUGGAAAGUUUUUUCGGUGUAGGAUGAGCUCGCGGCCUAUCAGCUUGUUGGUGGGGUAAUGGCCUACCAAGGCGGCGACGGGUAGCCGGCCUGAGAGGGUGGACGGCCACAUUGGGACUGAGAUACGGCCCAGACUCCUACGGGAGGCAGCAGUGGGGAAUAUUGCACAAUGGGCGCAAGCCUGAUGCAGCGACGCCGCGUGGGGGAUGACGGCCUUCGGGUUGUAAACUCCUUUCGCUAGGGACGAAGCUUUUUGUGACGGUACCUAGAUAAGGAGCACCGGCUAACUACGUG
RNAcentral lists this ribosomal RNA (465 nucleotides) under uncultured bacterium. RNAcentral describes it as "partial 16S ribosomal RNA". It matches the Rfam family "Bacterial small subunit ribosomal RNA", at positions 28 to 507 of the family's 1533-position model. The record is from RNAcentral.